This 484-nucleotide ribosomal RNA is filed under the name uncultured bacterium. RNAcentral describes it as "partial 16S ribosomal RNA". It matches the Rfam family "Bacterial small subunit ribosomal RNA", at positions 30 to 507 of the family's 1533-position model. The record is from RNAcentral.
AUUGAACGCUGGCGGCAGGCCUAACACAUGCAAGUCGAGCGGAUGAAGGGAGCUUGCUCCUGGAUUCAGCGGCGGACGGGUGAGUAAUGCCUAGGAAUCUGCCUGGUAGUGGGGGAUAACGUCCGGAAACGGGCGCUAAUACCGCAUACGUCCUGAGGGAGAAGGUGGGGGAGCUUCGGACCUCACGCUCUCAGAUGAGCCUAGGUCGGAUUAGCUAGUUGGUGGGGUAAAGGCCUACCAAGCCGACGAUCCGUAACUGGUCUGAGAGGAUGAUCAGUCACACUGGAACUGAGACACGGUCCAGACUCCUACGGGAGGCAGCAGUGGGGAAUAGUGGACAAUGGGCGAAAGCCUGAUCCAGCCAUGCCGAGUGUGUGAAGAAGGUCUUCGGAUUGUAAAGCACUUUAAGUUGGAAGGAAGGGCAGUAAGUUAAUACCUUGCUGUUUUGACGUUACCAACAGAAUAAGCACCGGCUAACUUCGUG